ACCGCGAGAAUCGUCGGAAACGCCAGCGGCGUAAGGGCCAAUCGCAGAUCGGAUGGUUGGCCCGGCUC
RNAcentral lists this small RNA (68 nucleotides) under Sinorhizobium meliloti 2011. RNAcentral's name for it is "putative ncRNA". The record is from RNAcentral. Lineage: Bacteria; Pseudomonadati; Pseudomonadota; Alphaproteobacteria; Hyphomicrobiales; Rhizobiaceae.